Molecule: transfer RNA, 75 nt
Filed under: Candidatus Peribacteria bacterium
Lineage: Bacteria; Candidatus Peregrinibacteriota; Candidatus Peribacteria
Description: tRNA-Met
Rfam family: tRNA
About the family: Transfer RNA (tRNA) molecules are approximately 80 nucleotides in length. Their secondary structure includes four short double-helical elements and three loops (D, anti-codon, and T loops).
Source: RNAcentral
UGCGGGGUGGAGAAAUGGUAUCUCGACGGGCUCAUAACCCGUAGGUAGGUGGUUCGAUUCCAUCCCCCGCAACCA